RNAcentral lists this ribosomal RNA (497 nucleotides) under uncultured bacterium. RNAcentral describes it as "partial 16S ribosomal RNA". It matches the Rfam family "Bacterial small subunit ribosomal RNA", at positions 28 to 507 of the family's 1533-position model. The record is from RNAcentral.
GAUGAACGCUGGCGGCGUGCCUAAUACAUGCAAGUCGAGCGAACAGACGAGGAGCUUGCUCCUCUGACGUUAGCGGCGGACGGGUGAGUAACACGUGGAUAACCUACCUAUAAGACUGGGAUAACUUCGGGAAACCGGAGCUAAUACCGGAUAAUAUAUUGAACCGCAUGGUUCAAUAGUGAAAGACGGUUUUGCUGUCACUUAUAGAUGGAUCCGCGCCGCAUUAGCUAGUUGGUAAGGUAACGGCUUACCAAGGCAACGAUGCGUAGCCGACCUGAGAGGGUGAUCGGCCACACUGGAACUGAGACACGGCCCAGACUCCUACGGGAGGCAGCAGUAGGGAAUCUUCCGCAAUGGGCGAAAGCCUGACGGAGCAACGCCGCGUGAGUGAUGAAGGUCUUCGGAUCGUAAAACUCUGUUAUUAGGGAAGAACAAAUGUGUAAGUAACUAUGCACGUCUCGACGGUACCUAAUCAGAAAGCCACGGCUAACUACGUG